RNAcentral lists this small RNA (60 nucleotides) under Breznakibacter xylanolyticus. RNAcentral describes it as "Cytophaga xylanolytica Flavo-1 RNA". The record is from RNAcentral. Lineage: Bacteria; Pseudomonadati; Bacteroidota; Bacteroidia; Marinilabiliales; Marinilabiliaceae.
GGGAUAGGAGUGGAAAGCCCGCAGCACAGCGAGGACUUGGAGCGGAUAGCCCGACCCGUA